This 68-nucleotide transfer RNA is filed under the name Acidobacteria bacterium ADurb.Bin340. Its description in RNAcentral is "tRNA-Lys". Lineage: Bacteria; Pseudomonadati; Acidobacteriota. The record is from RNAcentral.
GCGCUCUUGGGCGAGACGCUUGAGGGUCUUUUUCUCGGCAUUCGCGGUGCGAAUGCGCGAGACCGCCC